This 495-nucleotide ribosomal RNA is filed under the name uncultured bacterium. RNAcentral's name for it is "partial 16S ribosomal RNA". It matches the Rfam family "Bacterial small subunit ribosomal RNA", at positions 28 to 507 of the family's 1533-position model. The record is from RNAcentral.
GACGAACGCUGGCGGCGUGCCUAAUACAUGCAAGUCGAACGCUGAAGGGGGAGCUUGCUUCUCUGGAUGAGUUGCGAACGGGUGAGUAACGCAUAGGUAAACUGCCUGGUAGAGGGUGAUAACUAUUGGAAACGAUAGCUAAUACCGCAUAAUAGUAGAUGAUGCAUGACAUUUGAUUAAAAGGUACAAUUGUAUUACUACUAGAUGGACCUGCGUUGUAUUAGCUAGUUGGUGGGGUAACGGCUCACCAAGGCGACGAUACAUAGCCGACCUGAGAGGGUGAUCGGCCACACUGGGACUGGGACACGGCCCAGACUCCUACGGGAGGCAGCAGUAGGGAAUCUUCGGCAAUGGACGGAAGUCUGACCGAGCCACGCCGCGGGAGUGAAGAAGGUUUUCGGAUCGUAAAGCUCUGUUGUAAGAGGAGAACGAGUGUGAGAGGGGAAAGUUCACGCUGUGACGGUAUCUUACCAGAAAGGGACGGCUAACUACGUG